AGAGUUUGAUCCUGGCUCAGAAUCAACGCUGGCGGCGUGCCUAACACAUGCAAGUCGAACGAGAAAGUGGAGCAAUNNNUGAGUAAAGUGGCGCACGGGUGAGUAACACGUGACUAACCUACCCUUGAGUGGGGGAUAACCUAGGGAAACCUGGGCUAAUACCGCAUAAUACCUACGGGUCAAAGGAGCAAUUCGCUCGAGGAGGGGGUCGCGGCCGAUUAGUUUGUUGGCGGGGUAACGGCCCACCAAGACUAUGAUCGGUAUCCGGCCUGAGAGGGCGCACGGACACACUGGAACUGAAACACGGUCCAGACUCCUACGGGAGGCAGCAGUGGGGAAUUUUGCGCAAUGGGGGAAACCCUGACGCAGCAACGCCGCGUGGAGGAUGAAGUACUUUGGUACGUAAACUCCUUUCGAUCGGGACGAUAAUGACGGUACCGGAAGAAGAAGCCCCGGCUAACUUCGUGCCAGCAGCCGCGGUAAUACGAGGGGGGCGAGCGUUGUUCGGAAUUAUUGGGCGUAAAGGGUGCGUAGGCGGUUUGGUAAGUCUCGUGUGAAAUCUCUGGGCUCAACUCAGAGACUGCACGAGAAACUGCCGGGCUUGAGUAUGGGAGAGGUGAGUGGAAUUCCUGGUGUAGCGGUGAAAUGCGUAGAUAUCAGGAGGAACACCUGUGGCGAAAGCGGCUCACUGGACCAUAACUGACGCUGAUGCACGAAAGCUAGGGGAG
This 728-nucleotide ribosomal RNA is filed under the name uncultured bacterium. Its description in RNAcentral is "bacterial SSU rRNA". It matches the Rfam family "Bacterial small subunit ribosomal RNA", at positions 8 to 768 of the family's 1533-position model. The record is from RNAcentral.